RNAcentral lists this ribosomal RNA (253 nucleotides) under uncultured bacterium. RNAcentral's name for it is "partial 16S ribosomal RNA". It matches the Rfam family "Bacterial small subunit ribosomal RNA", at positions 524 to 776 of the family's 1533-position model. The record is from RNAcentral.
UACGUAGGAUGCAAGCGUUGUCCGGAAUUAUUGGGCGUAAAGAGCGCGCAGGCGGUUUUACAAGUCAGAUGUGAAAGAGGCCGGCUUAACCGGCAAGGGUCAUUUGAAACUGUGAGACUAGAGUACAGCAGAGGAUAGCGGAAUUCCCGGUGUAGUGGUGAAAUGCGUAGAUAUCGGGAGGAACACCAGUGGCGAAGGCGGCUAUCUGGGCUGAAACUGACGCUGAGGCGCGAAGGCUAGGGUAGCAAACAGG